CCGCCGGCGACCGGCGGCACGGGUGAGUAACACGUAUGCAACCUGGCCGUGACAGAUGGAUAACCGGGAGAAAUCCCGCCUAAUACAACAUAAUGCCGGGAGGGGACAUCCCCUGCCGGUCAAAGGGGGCGACCCCGGUCAUGGAUGGGCAUGCGGCGCAUUAGGUAGUUGGUGGGGCAACGGCCCACCAAGCCGACGAUGCGUAGGGGUUCUGAGAGGAAGGUCCCCCACAUUGGAACUGAGACACGGUCCAAACUCCUACGGAAGGCAGCAG
This 274-nucleotide ribosomal RNA is filed under the name uncultured bacterium. Its description in RNAcentral is "partial 16S ribosomal RNA". It matches the Rfam family "Bacterial small subunit ribosomal RNA", at positions 84 to 354 of the family's 1533-position model. The record is from RNAcentral.